UACGUAGGGUGCGAGCGUUGUCCGGAAUUACUGGGCGUAAAGGGCUCGUAGGCGGCCAACUAAGUCAGACGUGAAAUCCCUCAGCUUAACUGGGGAACUGCGUCUGAUACUGGAUGGCUUGGAUCCGGGAGAGGGAUGCGGAAUUCCAGGUGUAGCGGUGAAAUGCGUAGAUAUCUGGAGGAACACCGGUGGCGAAGGCGGCAUCCUGGACCGGUAUUGACGCUGAGGAGCGAAAGCCAGGGGAGCAAACGGG
This 253-nucleotide ribosomal RNA is filed under the name uncultured bacterium. RNAcentral's name for it is "partial 16S ribosomal RNA". It matches the Rfam family "Bacterial small subunit ribosomal RNA", at positions 524 to 776 of the family's 1533-position model. The record is from RNAcentral.